This 278-nucleotide microRNA precursor is filed under the name Glycine max (soybean). RNAcentral's name for it is "miR10198 stem-loop (gma-MIR10198)". The record is from miRBase by way of RNAcentral. Lineage: Eukaryota; Viridiplantae; Streptophyta; Magnoliopsida; Fabales; Fabaceae.
ACCUGAGUUUCAUCAUGACUGUGCGAAGGAACUCGAAAUUCAUAGUGAGUUCAAAGUCUGCUAGGUGGCCCUAUUCAUAACACGUGUGAAAGGUAAGUGUGCAUAUAGACCCACAUUAAGGUGCAAUUAAUUAAGGUGAUGCAUUCUUGCAUGCAAAACUGCUCCUUUUGGACCCACUUUGGCCAUCCUCAUAACCCUAGCGAAAUCUACCCUCGUAGGACCAUGAUUCUACUAUGAAUUUCGUGUUCCAUCCUGCAGCCAUGGCUGAUAGUAACUCU